Molecule: ribosomal RNA, 498 nt
Filed under: uncultured bacterium
Lineage: Bacteria
Description: partial 16S ribosomal RNA
Rfam family: Bacterial small subunit ribosomal RNA
Source: RNAcentral
GACGAACGCUGGCGGCGUGCCUAAUACAUGCAAGUCGAGCGGACGGAUGGGAGCUUGCUCCCAGACCGUCAGCGGCGGACGGGUGAGUAACACGUGGGCAACCUACCUGUAAGACUGGGAUAACUCCGGGAAACCGGGGCUAAUACCGGAUAACUCUUUCCCUCACAUGAGGGAAAGCUGAAAGAUGGCAUCUCGCUAUCACUUACAGAUGGGCCCGCGGCGCAUUAGCUAGUUGGUGAGGUAACGGCUCACCAAGGCGACGAUGCGUAGCCGACCUGAGAGGGUGAUCGGCCACACUGGGACUGAGACACGGCCCAGACUCCUACGGGAGGCAGCAGUAGGGAAUCUUCCGCAAUGGACGAAAGUCUGACGGAGCAACGCCGCGUGAGUGAUGAAGGUUUUCGGAUCGUAAAACUCUGUUGUCAGGGAAGAACAAGUACCGGAGUAACUGCCGGUACCUUGACGGUACCUGACCAGAAAGCCACGGCUAACUACGUG